CUUUCUUAAAAAGAGACAGACCAGACUCACAGCACUUGAAGUUUUCUGGAACCAUAACUUCUGUGGAUUCACAGAACCUUAAUGUUUUGUACCUUAAAACAGCAUUGGCCCUUGCAGGCAAAAAGAGCCUUUAUGUUUACUGUUUUGCUUGUGGAUAGUUCCAGAUAAAUUACUUAAAAUUCUCAGGUAUCUGGAUAGCAUGGAGUAUUGGGAAAGGAGAAGAGAUCCUUCUGUGCCAGAGGCAGCAGGUUCCAGGCCAGCUCCACGACUGUGCUGUCCCCAGGGAAGGAAGAGUCCUCCCACUGCACUGGCUGCUGGUGACCUGGCAGGGGACAUGGAGCUGCUGGCUGGCACAGCACCUGAGGAAGCAGGGAAGGAUGCAACAGCAUCACAAGCUGAGGUGGAAGGAGCAGAAAAAGCAGCUGCAAUGCCAGAGGCAGAAAGCCUAGUGGGAGCAGGUCUGGGCAGGAAGGGGGUCACCCCUGAAGGAGCAACGAUUGUGGUGGGAGCAUCGGAAAACCCAGCAGCAGAAAGGGCUGCUGAAGCAUUUUCCAGGGCAGCAGAAAGAAUUGCAGUAUCAGAAGUAGCCAAGGUGUUGCAGUCAGCAGUAGCUGAGCUCAAAGGGAAGAGGAAGAACAUGUGGAUAAAGCCAAGGAAUACCACUCAGCAGGAAGAGGAUUGGAUGAAAGAGGGAGAGGUGAAAUGAAAUGGAGAGCAUGGAAUGGGAAAGGUGACUCCAGCCAGAUUGAUAAUGGUGCGAUGCCAGGAAGUCCAGAAGAAAUUCAAGAAAUGGGAAAAAAUAACUUCAAAACAGUGGUGGACUUGUCAGCAUGAAUGACAUUCCCCAGGCAGUACAGAUGGAUCAUUAAAACAGAUUUCUAAUUUUUGAAAGGAAAAAAUAUUGUUUGUUGUAAGAUUGUUUUCUCAGCCUGUGAGGUACAGGUAAGACAGGUUUGUAGCAACAGCUGGAUGAUGGAGCAGUCACCAUAACAGAUAAAUGGUGAUAAAGUGUUACAGAG
Molecule: long non-coding RNA, 1019 nt
Organism: Cyanistes caeruleus (blue tit)
Lineage: Eukaryota; Metazoa; Chordata; Aves; Passeriformes; Paridae
Source: Ensembl